Molecule: non-coding RNA, 256 nt
Organism: Pelobates cultripes (western spadefoot toad)
Lineage: Eukaryota; Metazoa; Chordata; Amphibia; Anura; Pelobatidae
Source: the annotation of a GenBank genome assembly
GCCUCUCUAAUUCUGUCUAGAACCGCUCCUAUAUGGGCCAAGUGCUCCUGCCAGGUAUUGGUAAAUAUGGCAAUAUCAUCUAGAUAUACGCAGGUAUAGUCUUGGAACCCGUCUAGAAGUCGGUCCGCCAUCCGCUUGAAGGUAUCCAGAGCGUUUUUCAUAACAAACGGCAUAACCUUAACUUGGUACAGGCCGAAUGGGUGACAAAGGCUGACUUAGGGAUGGCGUCCGGGGCCAAGGGAAUCUGCCAAUACCC